This 433-nucleotide ribosomal RNA is filed under the name uncultured bacterium. RNAcentral describes it as "partial 16S ribosomal RNA". It matches the Rfam family "Bacterial small subunit ribosomal RNA", at positions 29 to 507 of the family's 1533-position model. The record is from RNAcentral.
AACGAACGCUGGCGGCAUGCCUAACACAUGCAAGUCGAACGAGCCCUUCGGGUCUAGUGGCGCACGGCUGUGUCACGCGUCGGAAGCUGCCCUUAGGUUCGGAAUAACUCCCCGACAGGGGUGCUAAUGCCGGAUAAUGUCUACGACCCAAGGAUUUAUCGACAUUGGUUGUGCCCGCGUUGGAUUCGCUAGUGCGUAGGGUAAUAGCUUACCAAGGCGACGAUCCAUAGCUGGUCUGAGAGAAUGAUCAGCGACACUGAGACUGGGACACGGCCCAGAAUCCUACGGGAGGCAGCAGUGGGGAAUGUUGGACAACGGGGGAAGUCCUGAUCCAGUAAGGCCGGGUGAGUUAUGUAGGCCUUAGGGAUGUAAAGCGCUUUUACCCGGGAUGGUAAUGACAGUACCGAGUGAAUAAGCUCCGGCUAACUCCGUG